AACGCGUAGGAAUCUGCCCAGUAGUGGGGGACAACUUGGGGAAACCCAAGCUAAUACCGCAUACGCCCUACGGGGGAAAGCGGGGAUCUUCGGACCUCGCGCUAUUGGAUGAGCCUGCGUCGGAUUAGCUAGUUGGUACGGUAAUGGCCUACCAAGGCGACGAUCCGUAGCUGGUCUGAGAGGAUGAUCAGCCACACUGGGACUGAGACACGGCCCAGACUCCUACGGGAGGCAGCAGUGGGGAAUAUUGGACAAUGGGGGAAACCCUGAUCCAGCAAUGCCGCGUGUGUGAAGAAGGCCUGCGGGUUGUAAAAGCACUUUCAAUUGGGAAGAAAAGCAGACGGUUAAUACCCGUCUGUCUUGACGUUACCUUUACAAGAAGCACCGGCUAACUCCGUGCCAGCAGCCGCGGUAAUACGGAGGGUGCGAGCGUUAAUCGGAAUUACUGGGCGUAAA
This 456-nucleotide ribosomal RNA is filed under the name uncultured bacterium. RNAcentral describes it as "bacterial SSU rRNA". It matches the Rfam family "Bacterial small subunit ribosomal RNA", at positions 112 to 564 of the family's 1533-position model. RNAcentral also lists the same sequence under 1 other name. The record is from RNAcentral.